CCUCUGUUUACUUUUUCUCAGAUAAUGAUAUGGACACCUAUAAACAAAGCUAGACAGCAAAGAACCAUGACAGAAAAAUCCAAAGGACAGACAUAAUUAUCCGGGUUCUCUAUGAGGCUGUGGCACAAUACACAAUGUAUCCCACAACUUCCGAAUAUGUUCAAGUUGCAAAGAUGCUGAUCCUUUCCUUAAGGAUCUCGAGAGAAAUGGUUAUCACACAUGGCACAUGUCUCUGAGGCGUAAAUUCAAGUGGGAGCGUGCACCUCUGGUUGACAACAGUGAAGUGAGAGGUAGCAAGGAGAAGUUUGGCCACAAAAAAUCAAAGCAACUUGUAGAAACAGCAAGGAGCUGUCAGAGAAAUGUGUUAAAGGCGUCAAGUGUUGUGGGUGAGGAUCCAUCCUCCAUUGAGGCUCACGUGAAGGUCUUGCAUAGCCAGUUGCAGAAGAUGCAACCUGACUUCAGGAUUGUACAGGACCGAACGCAGCAGACAUUUCCAUGGCGGCAAAAGGAGAUUGCUGAUGGCAUGACCUGUAGAGGACACAGUUAAGAAGUACCCUUUCUUAAGGACACCCACCGGAGGCAGCCCUCAUCUUUCUGCCUUACAUCUUCAAGGAGAACAUUGAUCGCUUUAUUACACUUGGAGAGACUGAUCUUGACAGCCCAUACCCAACUAUUCAGUUGACCGACCGAGACUGGAAAAUGGCCUUUGCCUUGUGUGUCGCAACUCAGGAGGAAUCAACAAAGGAAUCAUCUCAGCCUUCUGCACAUACUUCGUGUUCAAUCUUGCAUAUCCAAGACAUCUGAAGAACACUCUGAUGUUUCUCCAAACGUACAUUGCCAAAACAGUUGUGGACAGCCUCUGCCAAUAACUGUCACUAGGCAAAUAAAACUCCACCAUGCCUAAUUCAGUACACAGGACUCAUUCAUGCCCAUGAAGCCAAUUUCACUAUUGCAUGUGGACUAAUGACACACAGAACGUGUUUUACAUCCUGACAAUGAUGAUGACAACGAUGGAAAUACUGAGGUAGUUGAUGAAGAUUUUGAUCAGCCUAGGACACACACUGUCACUGAAAAUCCUCCAUGUAUGGAUGAGCUGUUAAAGAAUUUCAAAGAAAAUCUUUUCAAGUUCAUUCUGAAAUGCAGAGAGAAAAAUCACCUACCAUUGCCAGUUCAAGAAGAAAGCAGAAAAGUGGUUUUGACAUGUCACAAAGUCCAGAACUGAAAAGAGUUAUACAUUCUAAUGAUUUUUUUACGGGCACUUUCUCAAAUUCACCCAGCAGACUCCCACAAAACUGCCAGCACUGUCUGAGCUGGUGUCUGUUGCUCAGUGAAAUGUUUCCAAAAUUUCUGCUGUUAUGGGCAACCAUUUUAAAAUAUUGGUACUUGGACUCAAAUCUCAUGCACCAUAGCAAAGGCAUGGGCCCAUACAUUUGUAUCAGUCUUGAAUAAUGAAUUAAGUAAUGACACUUUAGAGUAAUAACACCCCCAAACACAUCUUUCAUUUCUGUCAGGAACUCUUGAACAAGUACAUUUAACAAAAAAAGGUUCUGUCCUCACCUUUGGAGCCAUAACGAUCUCAGUAAUCUCUCGACACAAUGGAAAAACAUGGCAAUAUUUACAAUCAUGUGGCACACGGUGGGCCAUUAGAAAAGGCAAAAGCCUGAAAAGGCAUCACUUUUGAGAAGCAGAUCCAGUAAUACCAACAUGCUGCAGUCUUUCUGAUAACUACUGGUUUGUUUACCUUGUCAUGUUCACCAAUGCACAGUUUUUGUAGUUCUUCAUUUAUUUAUUUUAUAGUUAUGUUUCUGUGUAUGAGCUUAACCAAUAACUAGCUUCAUAACAAGUGGAAUUACACCCUCUAACAAAUCGUGCAUUAUGUCCAGUGGUAAAGCUUUUGUCACAUCAAAAUAUUGCAACUCUUCAAAAGGUGAAGGGCCAUUCACACCAUAAGUCACUUUGUCAUCAGUAAUUUGUUGAAUGCGGGCAAGAUGACACUGAUGAACCUCAGAUGUUCUUAAAACAAAGCUGUAUUCCUCAAACAUGUGUUUUAUAUCUCCAUAAGAAGCCAUGCAAUAAUGACAAAUUCUACCAGAGUUACAUUUUCAGCACAUAUCAAUGGGUACAUACGAAUAGGAGCCCACUACAGAGUCCCUUUACUCAAAAUGGACAGGUUCCGUCAUGUUAAGCUUGGAUUUACAAUGGUCUUUUAUCAUGUAUGGAGAUCGAAUAGCUUUUGAGGCCUCAUCAAAAAAAUCAUUAGAAUGUAUAACCCUUUGACUUUGUGACAUGUCAAAACCACUUUUCUGAAGGUGGUAAGCUAUAAAAGCAUCGUAGUUCUCCUUAAAAAAACACAGUAAGAAAUUAACAUCAACAAUUUCUUCUUGAAAUGACAAUGGUAGGUGAUUUUUCUCUCCAUUUUUUUUCUUUACCUGUGGAGCUGCAGAGAGCCACAACCUCUGUGAUGUAGAUCUAACAGAGAAAGCGAUCUGUGUGUCUGAAGUAACAGUCAACAAUGUGAAGUAUGCUGUCAGAGAUGUAUUUGUCAUAGAUGUACUGCACUCUGAGUGUAUUCCAUUGUUUUGGCAAAUCAAGUACAUCUUUAACAUAGACACCAUGUGGAUCCUUGACCGUCACUUUCAUGCAUGCAGUGUCACGGUUGAUAAAGAAUGGACUUUACUGAAAUGGACUUUCAGGCAAAUGACACUUGCUCAAUUGAUGAUAAUUUAUGUCACAGUUAGACGU
Long non-coding RNA from Micropterus dolomieu (smallmouth bass), 2742 nucleotides. RefSeq lists it as uncharacterized. The transcript has 6 exons. Lineage: Eukaryota; Metazoa; Chordata; Actinopteri; Centrarchiformes; Centrarchidae. The record is from RefSeq and is a predicted model, not a curated record.